This 460-nucleotide ribosomal RNA is filed under the name uncultured bacterium. RNAcentral's name for it is "partial 16S ribosomal RNA". It matches the Rfam family "Bacterial small subunit ribosomal RNA", at positions 338 to 795 of the family's 1533-position model. The record is from RNAcentral.
CCUACGGGUGGCAGCAGUGAGGAAUAUUGGUCAAUGGACGAGAGUCUGAACCAGCCAAGUAGCGUGAAGGCUGCCUGCCCUCUUGGUUGUCCCCUUCUUUUCCCUGGGAAUAAAAUGUUCCACGUGUGGGAUUUUGUAUGUACCAUAUGAAUAAGGAUCGGCUAACUCCGUGCCAGCAGCCGCGGUAAUACGGAGGAUCCGCGCGUUAUCCGGAUUUAUUGGGUUUAAAGGGAGCGUAGGUGGAUUGUUCCGUCAGUUGUGAAAGUUUGCGGCUCAACCGUAAAAUUGCAGUUGCCACUGGCAGUCUUGAGUACAGUAGAGGUGGGCGGAAUUCGUGGUGUAGCGGUGAAAUGCUUAGAUAUCACGAAGAACUCCGAUUGCGAAGGCAGCUCACUGGACUGCAACUGACACUGAGGCUCGAAAGUGUGGGUAUCAAACAGGAUUAGAUACCCGUGUAGUC